This is a long non-coding RNA of Manis pentadactyla (Chinese pangolin), 1091 nucleotides long. RefSeq lists it as uncharacterized. The transcript is spliced from 3 exons. NCBI's taxonomy places the organism in Eukaryota, Metazoa, Chordata, Mammalia, Pholidota, Manidae. The record is from RefSeq and is a predicted model, not a curated record.
UUUGCAGAGCGAUGUUAAUGUCGGCAUGAUAAAAAUGAGGGUCACAAAGUCCGUUUGCUGACAUACUCACACUUCUUGAGGGGGUUCCGUGCAAUUCCCCAGGAUGUUUCCGUCACUGAAUGGUUCUACUGGCAGGAGGUAAUGAGAAGAAAGAAAGGAAAAACAAAGACCUUUCAUAAAACCAUUUAAAAUACAUUGCAAGGAUCAACAAGGGGAGUUAGUCCCAGAUUUCAAAAAACCACCCUGGAUGCCGCGAGUGGCUGCACUCCCCACAGAAGGCCUACAGCAACACGUGUUUGUUGUCGGUCAAGUGCCAGACGAAGGGCAGAGCACUGAGAAUCUGGGAAGUAUCCUUUUAAAGUUGCCUCUGGGAAAAAUUCUAAAAAGAGAUCUUGAAGCUUAUAAUAUAUUCUUCAUUUUAUUCUUUAAUCUUGCUUCCUUUUUAUUUUUGCUUAUAGCAACAUCCAAGGGUGACUGUGGUCAGAAAAUACUUCUCUUGUAAAGUUCUCUUUUGGCAGUCUUGCAUCUAUCAUUCCAUAAUUUGGUUUUUAUUUUAAAUUUAUCAAAGUACAUUUCUUACAAAAAGCAAUGUAAAGAGCACAGGCUACCGCUGAAGUCAAGUGAGUAAGAGUUUCGGAUUGUGUUUUACAGAAUGACAGCCAGGGUUUGAAGUCUAGUUUCAGCAAUUCCUAGCUGUGCGACCUUGGGAGAGUCUGUAUUUAUUUCCUCAAACAUAAAAAGAGACAAUAACAGCAUGAUGGCACAAGGUUAUUAUUGGAAUUAUAUGAGCAGAAAUAAAAGCACUUACUAGGAUGUCUGGCAUGAAGCAGGGCCUCAAACUAUGUUAAUCAUCAUUACUAUUACUAAUAAAUAACUCUCCUUUAAGGAGUGAAUUUGUGUUAUCGUAUUUUUCUUCCUCAGGUGGCUCAAAAUACAAAAUAUUUUAUACCCCAUGUGCCUGGAUUACAAAUUCCUACAAUUAAGACUUAAAGAAAAAUAAUCUCAGAAUGCAUGCUCUUGGAAGAUCUGAAAUGAAAUAUAGUAACUAGAGAUUAAUAUUUUAUAAACAACCAUCAGACACAUGUCUGUGG